CAGUAGCCGCGGUAAUACGUAGGGUGCAAGCGUUAAUCGGAAUUACUGGGCGUAAAGCGUGCGCAGGCGGUUCUAUAAGACAGAUGUGAAAUCCCCGGGCUCAACCUGGGAACUGCAUUUGUGACUGUAGAGCUGGAGUGCGGCAGAGGAGGAUGGAAUUCCGCGUGUAGCAGUGAAAUGCGUAGAUAUGCGGAGGAACACCGAUGGCGAAGGCAAUCCCCUGGGCCCGCACUGACGCUCAUGCACGAAAGCGUGGGGAGCAAACAGGAUUAGAUACCCCCGUAGUCCCUGUCUCUUAUAC
This 301-nucleotide ribosomal RNA is filed under the name uncultured bacterium. Its description in RNAcentral is "partial 16S ribosomal RNA". It matches the Rfam family "Bacterial small subunit ribosomal RNA", at positions 509 to 807 of the family's 1533-position model. The record is from RNAcentral.